CGAGCGCAACCCUUGUCUUCUGUUGCCAUCAGGUUAUGCUGGGCACUCUGAAGAGACUGCCGGUGAUAAACCGGAGGAAGGUGGGGAUGACGUCAAGUCAGCAUGGCCUUUAUGUCUGGGGCUACACACGUGCUACAAUGGCAGAUACAAACCGUCGCGAGACCGCAAGGUGGAGCUAAUCGGAGAAAGUCUGUCUCAAUUCGGAUAGCUUUCUUGAUCGCUUUACCUGCUUGAAGUUGGAAUCGCUAGUAAUCGCGGAUCA
RNAcentral lists this ribosomal RNA (262 nucleotides) under uncultured Acidobacteriota bacterium. RNAcentral's name for it is "uncultured Acidobacteria bacterium partial 16S ribosomal RNA". It matches the Rfam family "Bacterial small subunit ribosomal RNA", at positions 1093 to 1351 of the family's 1533-position model. Lineage: Bacteria; Pseudomonadati; Acidobacteriota. The record is from RNAcentral.